This is an RNA transcript of Odobenus rosmarus divergens (Pacific walrus), 1254 nucleotides long. It is a transcript of the gene named ras-related protein Rab-9A-like, with no coding region annotated. Lineage: Eukaryota; Metazoa; Chordata; Mammalia; Carnivora; Odobenidae. The transcript has a single exon. The record is from RefSeq and is a predicted model, not a curated record.
AGCUGGAGUUGGACACCAGCAGCACUACGCUUUCCUGCCCGUGGGUCCCCGACCUACUCUCCUCGUUGUGUACCUGGACCGGCCAGCCGGGAGCUCCCCGGGCGUCCUCUGUGUGGCCACAAGAUAAUGAUGCUGCUUGAGCUGAACAAUUAAGGGUUCUAAAGUCAAAAUCGUGAGAUUAAUAAUGGCAGGGAAAUCUUCGCUUUUUAAAGUAAUUCUCCUUGGAGAUGGUGGAGUUGGGAAGAGCUCUCUAAUGAACAGAUAUGUGACCAAUUAAGUUUGAUACCCAGCUCUUCCAUACAAUAGGUGUGGGAUUUUUAAAUAAAGAUUUGGAGGUGGAUGGACAUUUUGUUACCAUGCAGAUUUGGGACACGGCCGGUCAAGAGCGAUUCAGAAGCCUGAGGACACCAUUUUACAGAGGUUCUGACUGUUGCCUGCUCACUUUUAGUGUCGAUGAUUCUCAGAGCUUCCAGAACUUGAGUAACUGGAAGAAAGAAUUCAUAUAGUACGCAGAUGUGAAAGAGCCCAAAAGUUUUCCUUUCGUGAUUUUGGGCAACAAGAUUGACAUAAGUGAACGUCAAGUGUCUACAGAAGAAGCCCAAGCCUGGUGCAGGGACAACGGCGACUACCCUUCCUUUGAAACAAGUGCAAAAGAUGCCACAAAUGUUGCAGCAGCCUUUGAGGAAGCAGUUCGAAGAGUGCUUGCUACUGAGGAUAGGUCAGAUCACCUGAUUCAGACAGACACGGUCAGUCUGCACCGAAAGCCCAAGCCUAGCUCAUCUUGCUGUUGAUCGUCAGAGAGGUUGCCUGUGCGAUCUAACCAACGUACAAUCACAGAAACAAAACACGGUGGAGAAGAGAAUUAGCAUUUGCAGCAAUGGAUCAUCUACUCAUAAAAUUAAACUAACCAUAAUGCUGCUUUGUUAGUGGGUGGGAGAAGAGACACAUCCACUCAUGGAAGAAUCAAUUUACUCAGUAGUGGCACCUUACAUUUAUAAAUUGUAAUGGUUGUCUAAUAACAUUUAAUUUAAAUAUGUACGUUACAGAGCUAAUAAAUGAGAUGAUCAAUACUUUAAUUAUAAUUAAAACAAAACACUUGAAUAUUCUGGAAGUUAUUGUUUGUUUUUCCUGGGAAAAUGGAGAACUACUUUUUAUAUGUGUAUAUUUUUAUGUAAUUAGCAUUCAGUUCCUGGUUGAGGGGAAAAAAAUUCCCUAAAGCAAUAAUGUUCAAUAAUAAAGAUUAAAACCUAAAAA